AUGAAAAAGUCCAAAUUUUUAUAAAUUGAAAAGUUACAAGUAUUUUUGCCAUCGUUUGAAUCAAUUAAAUUGAUUAUAUAGAAGCUAUAAAUUAUUUUUUUCAAAUUAAUCCAAUAAAUUAAUUAUUUUCAAACUCCUUGGUUUAUAAAUUCUGGAAUCGGAUUUACAAUAUCAGCGUAUUACCACACUUUUGAGAUCCACUUACAUUUUUGCGAAUAUUAGCAUUUCUUUGGAAAGAUACGAAUAAAAUUCACAAACGCAUGUUAGGAUUAGCUUUCGGAAAGCACCAAAUAUACCAAUAUUUGAACAUAUAUGACCAAAAACUUAAGGAAUUGCGUUUCAGAAUAAAACUAAGUGAUAUUUAUCGUUUACUAUACACCGUAAUUAUAGUGCUACCAAGAUUUCCACCGC
Lucilia cuprina (Australian sheep blowfly) is the source of this 411-nucleotide long non-coding RNA. RefSeq lists it as uncharacterized. NCBI's taxonomy places the organism in Eukaryota, Metazoa, Arthropoda, Insecta, Diptera, Calliphoridae. The transcript has 3 exons. The record is from RefSeq and is a predicted model, not a curated record.